UGGGGAAUUUUGGACAAUGGGGGCAACCCUGAUCCAGCAAUGCCGCGUGAGUGAAGAAGGCCUUCGGGUUGUAAAGCUCUUUUGUCAGGAACGAAACGCGCUGAGCUAAUACCUCGGCGUAAUGACGGUACCUGAAGAAUAAGCACCGGCUAACUACGUGCCAGCAGCCGCGGUAAUACGUAGGGUGCAAGCGUUAAUCGGAAUUACUGGGCGUAAAGCGUGCGCAGGCGGUUGUGCAAGACAGAUGUGAAAUCCCCGGGCUCAACCUGGGAAUUGCAUUUGUGACUGCACGGCUAGAGUGUGUCAGAGGGGGGUAGAAUUCCACGUGUAGCAGUGAAAUGCGUAGAGAUGUGGAGGAAUACCGAUGGCGAAGGCAGCCCCCUGGGAUAACACUGACGCUCAUGCACGAAAGCGUGGGGAGCAAACA
RNAcentral lists this ribosomal RNA (427 nucleotides) under uncultured Noviherbaspirillum sp. Its description in RNAcentral is "bacterial SSU rRNA". It matches the Rfam family "Bacterial small subunit ribosomal RNA", at positions 355 to 774 of the family's 1533-position model. Lineage: Bacteria; Pseudomonadati; Pseudomonadota; Betaproteobacteria; Burkholderiales; Oxalobacteraceae. The record is from RNAcentral.